UUUAAUGAACACUUACUGUGUGCUUUCAGUGUAUCGGUGCAUUUAAUCUACAAACCAGCUCCAUUGUACAGAUGCGAAUAGGGAGGCAGAGAGAGAUUCAGCAACUCACCGCAAAUCACACUUCCGAAGGGUUCUUUGUCUGCCUUGGUUAUGCCAGUGUGUGCAGGGCCCAGACACAGAGGCGCUCCCUUGCAGGAUAUUAGUUCCCCAACCAGGGAUUGAACCCAUGCCCCCUGCAGUGGAAGCUCGAGUCUUAACCACUGGCCCACCAGGGAAUUCCCAAUUUCACCUCCUCCUGAAUCUGGGUUGACCUGGUGACUUGCUUCGACCCAUAAGAUGUGGCAGAAGUGAUGUUCUGGCAGCUCUGUGGAGAGCUCCAUGUGGAAAGGACUGGGGCACUCAGCCUACAGACAGCACCAACUCGCCAGCUAUGUGAGUGAGUAACCUUAGAAAUGAUCCUCCAGCCCCAGUUGAGUCUUCAGAUGACUGUGGCCUCAGCCAACAUCUGACUGUAGUCUCAUGACAGACCCAAGUGAGAACUGCCCAGCUGGGUCCUUCUCAAAUUUCUUUUUUUUUUCUUUUUCUUUUUUGGUUGUGUUGGGUCUUUGUUGCUGUGCAUAGGCUUUCUCUGUGGCCAGCAGGGGCUACUC
Delphinapterus leucas (beluga whale) is the source of this 650-nucleotide non-coding RNA. The record is from RefSeq and is a predicted model, not a curated record. NCBI's taxonomy places the organism in Eukaryota, Metazoa, Chordata, Mammalia, Artiodactyla, Monodontidae.